RNAcentral lists this ribosomal RNA (504 nucleotides) under uncultured bacterium. RNAcentral's name for it is "partial 16S ribosomal RNA". It matches the Rfam family "Bacterial small subunit ribosomal RNA", at positions 28 to 523 of the family's 1533-position model. The record is from RNAcentral.
GACGAACGCUGGCGGCGUGCCUAACACAUGCAAGUCGAGCGAAGCUUGAUAGUAAUAUGAAGCUUAGCGGCGGACGGGUGAGUAACACGAAAGCAAUUUGGCCCAUACAGGGGGAUCACAUUGAGAAAUCAGUGCUAAUACCGCAUAAGACCACAACGUCGCAUGACGAAGGGGUAAAAGGAGAGAUCCGGUAAGGGGUGAGCUUGCGUCCCAUUAGCUAGUGGGCAGGGUAAGAGCCGACCAAGGAAAGGAUGGGUAGCCGGACUGAGGGGUUGAACGGCCACACUGGGACUGAGACACGGCCCAGACUCCUACGGGAGGCAGCAGUAUGGAAUAUUGGACAAUGGGGGGAACCCUGGUCCAGCCAGGCCGCGUGUGGGAAGAAGGCCUUAUGGUUGUAAAGCACUUUAAGCGAGGAGGAGGCUACUUUAGUUAAUACCUAGAGAUAGUGGACGUUACACGCAGAAUAAGCACCGGCUAACUCUGUGCCAGCCGCCGCAGUAA